CCCUCUCCACCAAAUUCUUCCUCUCUCUCCCUCCCGAACUCUCCCCCACCGUGAAGCCCCCAUCGCCGGAUCGCCGCCGCGCCGUCGCCGCUUGCCUUCGCCACCGCCAAGCCAUACCACCUUCCCCGCCGUUCGCCGCCGCGCUACGUUCUAGCCGCUUUAGUCUAGAACCAAAUAACCCGCCUGCAUAAGGAAUCAGUCGCCACCGCCGCCGUCAGAACGUUUUGGUACAGUCAUGCACCCCGAGGAUAAUUUCGUGGAGUACUCUCUGAAUGGACGCCGUACCGAGGACGCAAGGACUAGUGAGGAGGCGAUGAGCUAGUGCUCGUGUAAUACCGUUUUUGGUAGAUAGUGUAAUUGCCUCUGUUCGGUGUAUGGUUUUUUUAAGGUAAUCGUAGUGGGUGUGCAUGUAAAAUUUAUGGACUCAAAAACAUCGGGAAUGUGUAAGUAUGUUCAUAUAUGGCAGGUGUAAAUAUGUGUGGAAAUGAAAUGUUUUAAGUAAUGUGGCGGUUGGGCGUGCUUAGUUA
Molecule: long non-coding RNA, 527 nt
Organism: Syzygium oleosum
Lineage: Eukaryota; Viridiplantae; Streptophyta; Magnoliopsida; Myrtales; Myrtaceae
Exons: 2
Source: RefSeq, a predicted model, not a curated record